GAUGAAGAACGCAGCGAAAUGCGAUAAGUAAUGUGAAUUGCAGAAUUCAGUGAAUCAUCGAAUCUUUGAACGCACCUUGCGCCCUUUGGCUAUUCUGAAGGGCAUGCCUGUUUGAGUAUCGUGAACACCUCAACUCUCAUGGUCUGCCAUGAUGAGCUUGGACUUUGGGGGUCUUGCUGGCCUACUGUCAGCUCCUCUCAAAUGAAUCAGCUUACCAGUGUUUGGUGGCACCACAGGUGUGAUAACUAUCUACGCUUGUGGUUUUCUGCCAGGUAACCUCCAGUGAUGGAGGUUCGCUGGAGCUCACAAAUGUCUCUCCUCAGCGAGGACAGCUUUUUGAAUGUUUGAUCUCAAAUCAGGUAGGACUACCCGCUGAACUUAAGCAUAUCAAUAAGCGGAGG
This 401-nucleotide unclassified non-coding RNA is filed under the name soil metagenome. RNAcentral describes it as "partial contains 5.8S ribosomal RNA, internal transcribed spacer 2, and large subunit ribosomal RNA". The stretch from base 1 to 121 matches the Rfam family "5.8S ribosomal RNA", at positions 35 to 154 of the family's 154-position model. The record is from RNAcentral.